RNAcentral lists this ribosomal RNA (444 nucleotides) under uncultured bacterium. RNAcentral describes it as "SSU rRNA". It matches the Rfam family "Bacterial small subunit ribosomal RNA", at positions 26 to 518 of the family's 1533-position model. The record is from RNAcentral.
AGAACGAACGCUGGCGGCAGGCUUAACACAUGCAAGUCGAGCGCCCCUCACGGGGAGCGGCAGACGGGUGAGUAACGCGUGGGAACAUACCCUUUUCUACGGAAUAACGCAUGGAAACGUGUGCUAAUACCGUAUACGCCCUUAGGGGGAAAGAUUUAUCGGAGAAGGAUUGGCCCGCGUUGGAUUAGCUAGUUGGUGGGGUAAAGGCCUACCAAGGCGACGAUCCAUAGCUGGUCUGAGAGGAUGAUCAGCCACAUUGGGACUGAGACACGGCCCAGACUCCUACGGGAGGCAGCAGUGGGGAAUAUUGGACAAUGGGCGCAAGCCUGAUCCAGCCAUGCCGCGUGGAUGAUGAAGGCCUUAGGGUUGUAAAGUCCGUUUUAACGGGGAAGAUAAUGACGGUACCCGUAGAAUAAGCCCGGCUAACUUCGUGCCAGCAACCGC